GGAGGGGUUCCCGAGCGGCCAAAGGGGGCAGACUGUAAAUCUGCUGUCACUGACUUCGGAGGUUCGAAUCCUCCCCCCUCCACCA
This 85-nucleotide transfer RNA is filed under the name Gammaproteobacteria bacterium. RNAcentral's name for it is "tRNA-Tyr". It matches the Rfam family "tRNA". Rfam says of the family: Transfer RNA (tRNA) molecules are approximately 80 nucleotides in length. Lineage: Bacteria; Pseudomonadati; Pseudomonadota; Gammaproteobacteria. RNAcentral also lists the same sequence under 1 other name. The record is from RNAcentral.